GGACGAACGCUGGCGGCGUGCUUAACACAUGCAAGUCGAACGGAAAGGCCCUGCUUUUGUGGGGUGCUCGAGUGGCGAACGGGUGAGUAACACGUGAGUAACCUGCCCUUGACUUUGGGAUAACUUCAGGAAACUGGGGCUAAUACCGGAUAGGAGCUCCUGCUGCAUGGGGGGGGUUGGAAAGUUUCGGCGGUUGGGGAUGGACUCGCGGCUUAUCAGCGUGUUGGUGGGGUAGUGGCUUACCAAGGCUUUGACGGGUAGCCGGCCUGAGAGGGUGACCGGCCACAUUGGGACUGAGAUACGGACCAGACUCCUACGGGAGGCAGCAGUGGGGAAUAUUGCACAAUGGGCGGAAGCCUGAUGCAGCAACGCCGCGUGCGGGAUGACGGCCUUCGGGUUGUAAACCGCUUUCGCCUGUGACGAAGCGUGAGUGACGGUAAUGGGUAAAGAAGCACCGGCUAACUACGUG
Molecule: ribosomal RNA, 469 nt
Filed under: uncultured bacterium
Lineage: Bacteria
Description: partial 16S ribosomal RNA
Rfam family: Bacterial small subunit ribosomal RNA
Source: RNAcentral